Molecule: long non-coding RNA, 24742 nt
Filed under: Lactuca sativa (garden lettuce)
Lineage: Eukaryota; Viridiplantae; Streptophyta; Magnoliopsida; Asterales; Asteraceae
Description: long non-coding RNA (LSAT_LNC006320)
Source: RNAcentral
GAGGAACCAAAAAUUACCACCGAUCAAAAAAUUUUAUUCAUAACAAAAUUUACCGUUGAUCAAAAAAUGUUAUGGUUAACUUUUUGCAUUUUGCAUUUUGUUUUGGAUUAUUUUUAUAUAAUUAUUAGGAAAAUAUAUAAAAACUGAGAGAUAGUGUAGCGACCAUUUCACUGGCGGUGAGUUAACUUUAGACGGCGGUGACGAUCAACAGUUCGAGGCCUCUGGGAAUUUUCCGGGCGGGUUGUGUUCCCACACCUUGACAUGUCAGCUCCACCGCAACCUGAGUACCUGAGGUGGAGUUAUAUCCUUUAGCACCCACCACUCCGACCCCCAUCUCCUUCUGUUUCACCCUUCCAUGUCAUCAUCAUCGCCCUAUUCAUCAAGUUAUCUCUUAAAAUCACAUACACAGUCUCACUCUUCUGAGUUAUACGUGAAAAUCGCCGCCGUUGUGCUCAAUUGCUCCGUAUAAAUCGAUCAUCAGAUGAAUAGGAAAGAAGGAACGAGUUCGACAUCGCCUAUUAAUUGCUCAAUUGUCAAGGUUAUUCCUUUGAAACACCAUUGUCAUGCUCAACAUCUUAUUCGCAUUUGUAUCUUGUGAAUAUUUCUACUUUUCUUAAAAGUACUUCAAUAUGAGUACAUGUCUAUUUUACUGAUCACAUUAUCUCCACCUCCUUCUAAUUUACAUAGAACAAAACUAUCAUCGCUUUUCAAAUGCUUUUGGGCCAAAAUUUCUGAAAGGGGAUAAAAUUAGCUUCAACCCAAAAUAUUAUAUGAUUUGAAAUAAAAUUGACAUAAUCUUUGUUCUUUUUGUGUUAAAUACAAUUAUAUACUUACCUCAAUUUUCAGGGAAAGAAUACUAUUGAUCUAUGAAAAGGACAAGACAAGAUCAAAGUUUCCUUAUUUCAGUUUCAGAAGAAUAUUUAUCUGGUUUUCUUGAAAGGUAAUGAUCUCAAUUCACAUACACUGGUAGAUUACAAAAUGAAAACUAAAUAAAAUCAACACUCAAUGUAAUCAUGUUUUAUAAAUACCUUCUUUAAAACAUUUAUUCCACAUUAAGUCUAAUACAAAAUUAGACAUUCAUACCUUUGAUUUAUGAUGUUAAUCUAACAUAAUGAUGCUAGAUUCUUAUAGAACUUAUUGAGAAACAUACUUCCAUGAUUAAUAAUAGAUAUCCUAACUUGUUUCAUAAGAUCAUCAAAUCAAAUAUUUAUAAACAAACUAUUAACAAAAACCAUCUUGAGGAUCAAAUCUUUAACAUGUUAAAUACAAUUUACCGAAAAUUAACCAAUCAUUCAAUAAAAUAUUUCUACAACCAAUAAAAACACGCAAACGAAUGAAUAAAUUCUUAUUAUAUAUGUUUUAUUCACGAUACAUUUAUUGCAGAGUGUCAUGCACCUUCAGAUAUCAAACAACUUUAUUCAGAAAUACACAAACAAAUCACACCACCAUCUGUAUUACUUAUCUUCCACCUCAUUCAACCAAAUCCCCUUAUCUCAACCACUUACAGACAUCCCUUCAACAAUAAAAAACUCAAAUCCAUUAAAAAAAACAAGCGUGACACUCUAAUUUGAAACAGAUAUUCCCACAUACCCAACUCCUAUAACAAAGAAAGCACCCGAUUGAAGCAACAGAUAAACAAACAUAUGAUCUUUCCCAAACAUCAUAUCAUAAAUAGCCACAUACAAAAGAAACAACCCCAUUAUCAACUCCGAGAAGUGAAGCCUGUUUUUUUUAUCAUACCAAAAUAUUAGCAUAUAAUCAUAUAUAUAUAUAUAUAUAUAUAUAUAUAUAUAUAUAUAUAUAUACACACACACACACACACACACACACAAAGGGUAUAAUCGUAGUUUUACAAUACCUUUCUCCAAAUCGCGAACGUGACUUCUUCAAUGGCUUCACAAUACUUUUAGGCUUUGUUGCAUUUCCUAGUUUUUCAGUCACAACCCAUUCAUUGACUCGAUUAGCUCCCAAAAGUCCAAUGAUUGUUGCUUUGGAUCGAUGAAAUGACAUGACAUUUUCAAACAAGAUCCAGAACACAAGAAGGUGUAAUGACCUGUAAGGGCAAAAUGGUAAAUUGGUGAUCAAACUAAAGGGGUAAAAUGGUCAUUUUGUGAUAAUACCUUAGGGUGCAUGAGGAGUUUAAGAUUGUAACGGUUGCUGGAACGUAUAUGGCUAUGAGUUUUGGGAGAUGGACUUCAGGAACCAUGAUGCUGACUGGGAUGAUGACACAGUAAAAGAAAAAGGUGACCCAAUGUGCAAUUAUCUUCCUCACAAAAAAGAACGCAUAGAUGACAUGGAAUUUCUUCCAGAUGGAUACCCUCUGCAUAAAGUUUGAAUCUUUAUCUCAAAAUCUCAAGGGUAUUAAGGUAAUUAAAAAGGUUUCUUGAAAUUUACCUCGCAGAAGAUUAUUUCUUUUGUCAUUUUUCUAAAAAGAUUAGCUGGACCACAUGACCACCUAUGCUGUUGAAAUCUAUACGCUUUGAAAGUACUCGGGAGUUCGUUUUUCACCUAUAUGUAAUCAUCAUAACAAUUCAUGAAAAGGGUAAUAUUGGAAAUACUGAAAAUAUUGGAAAUGAUACGAUUUACUCACCUCUAAGUCACCCACAAAGACAAAUUUCCAACCUUUUAGACUUGCUCUAACAGCAAGAUCCAUGUCUUCUACUGUGGUUCGAUCUUUCCAGCCACCAGCAUCUGCAAUAGCUCUUAUACGCCACACACCCGCAGUUCCUAAUUUUAUAUAACAAAAAAAAUUAUAAAAACUAAAAAAUUAUUUUCCACCUGUCAAAUAAAAUAAAAUAAAUAAAUAAUAACUUACUUACCAUUGAAUCCAAAGAAUUGACAAGUUGAUGACCCUACUUCUUGUUCAACAGCAAAAUGGUAGGCGAGUGACAUCUCUUGGAGUCGAGUCAUUAAACAUUCAUCAGCAUUUACUACAAACAACUUAUUUAUUUUUAGUAAUAAUGCUAUAUUUUAGUCGCAAAAUGGUAAAUAUUCAAGAAAUGAGUGACCCUUUUACCGAAUUUCCAUCGAGCCUGAACCAAAGCCAAUUCUGGAUUCUCAAGAAGGUAAGGUACAGAUCUCCAUAAAAAGUCUUCAUCUGGUUGAAAAUCUGCAUCAAAUAUGACAACAAAUUCGCAAUCGAAUACAUAAUCUUUUUUUAAUCCUUCACGAAGAGCACCAGCUUUGUAUCCAUUUCUGUUGUUUCUUGUCUCAUAUUUCACAUUUACCCCCCUCUGAAUCCACUUUUUACACUCCAACUCCACCAGUGCCUGUAUACAACUAAUAAGUUUCUUUCUACUUUAUAUAUUAUAGCUAACUCAUCACUAUUUUGAAACUAGAUUAAAUUACAAAAACAGUCCCUGUACUUUCUCAUUUUUACCAUUCUUAGUCCAAAAUCGAAACCCUUUUCAUUUUUUUGUCCUUAUCUAAACUUUCAUAUCGAUUUCGGUCCGUGUAAAUUGAAAAAACGGUUCAAGUCUUAAACAAGGUGAAAAUCUGAAAGCACGAGGGUAUAUUUGUAAUUUAGUAUUGAACUAUAAGUGUAGUUGUAGGGGUACCCUUAGGACUUCAUUGGUUGAGUCAUCAAGAACCUGAACAAUAAGACGAUCAGCUGGCCAUCUAAGUGAGCAUACAGCUCCAAUUGACAGCUUGUAGACCUGUAAAGAAAAUAAAAAUGGCAACAUGUAAAAUUAAUUUAAUUUACACAUAAAUAUUGUGUACAAAAAACAUGUGUAGAAUACCUCUUUUUCAUUGAACAUAGGUAUUUGAACCAACACCAUGGGGUAGCUUCUAUUUUGUUCAAGAUCUUCUUUGAGUGCUUCUAGUUUAUACUGAGUGUACUUUUUCUUUCCCAAAAACUUCACCAAAAGAACAACAAUAGUCAUGUACACACGUUCAACGAACAUCAUCAAAGACAUGACAGCACAAACACAGAUGGCAGCGGUCAAUGGCGGCAUCACCAUUGACACGCGUAUAUGCCGCCAGACAUCGGUGAAACUGCCUGUGAAAUCAUAGGCUGAUAAGACAUCGGGCUCUGUGCGAAAAAUGUUUCUCAUGGUGAAACGGAAGGAAGAAAGGAGUUAGGACUUAGGAGAUGGGUGGGGAUAAGGGUAGUGAGGAAGAUUGAAGGGUGUGCUUUAAAUAGAAAAUGGUAGAGGUUUUGUUGAAGAUGAUGAUGACAUGGAGGGUGACAUGGCGGUGGGCUUAGGUGGAAGAUUUUGGUGCAUUGAGUGAAUCGUUUAAUGAGGCAAGCUACGUGCAAGCAAAUGUGGUAUGAAGGAUCAAUAUUGUUAGCUGGAUUUCUCGCCUUUCUCGCCGACAAUGUUGUUGACAAUAUUCAACUCACGUAUUUCUAAUUAAGGUAAUGAAUUUAAGUUUUGUGAUUUACCAUAUACUACUACUAAAAAUGCUUGUUAAGCCCAUAAGCCAAAGUAGAUGGAAGUUUUAUAAGGCCUAAUUGUUAUUCCACCUCGUGCAUCUAUUAAUGUUUUGUCCCCUUAUUGUAGUGUAGGCCUUAGUUUCCUUUUAUAUGUUAGUGUUUUUCGUACAAUAUUUACCUUCUUACUGUUGUCCACUUUUAUAGAGCAUUCACAAUUGUGAGUUCAAUGAGAUAGUUGUGAGAUGGCAAGCCUAGUUGUCUUUUAAUGGAUUAAACUCUACAAUUGUGAGAUGCUACCUUGACAUUCAAUGGAUUUGGAGGUUUUUUUUGUUGAAAGGCUAACACAGACCCACUAAAUUCUACUCCUCGACUACUCUUUUUAUUCAUGACGAGACUCGAACCCUCAACUCUUUAGGGAAUACAUACAUUUUUAAAAUCCUUGGUACCGCUAGGCCAAAAGAGUUUAAUGACCAUUGAACUCUUCAAUGGAAAAAAUGAAAGUUUUCUCUUUCUUAAAUAAAUACUAUAAAUUAGCUUGUGUAAUGUUUUUAUUGAGCUUUGUAAAGUUGAAUGCAUUAUAGGAAAUCUUUCACGGAGUUAUAUGAAAUUUAGAAAUAUGAUGUGACAAUCUAUUGAACCCUAUGGAGUUCAAUGCAUUGUGGAUAUCCUUACAUCUUGUAGGAGCUAUUUGUUUUCUUACUUUUGUCCCCUAUAUAGUUUCAUUGCUUGUAUUUGUUUUUCUAAAAUCUAUACAUUCUUACUUUUAUCUAGGCGUGUCGAAAAAACCCGGAACCCGUUCUACCCACCCGACCCGUUCCGAAUUCGGGUAGAAUGGGUCGGGUAGAAUGGGUAAUGGGUAUGAACAUUCGGGUAAUAGGUUAACCCGAUAAUAAUAUAGGUCGGGUUUUAGGUAUGAAUAUUUAUUUUCGGGUAUACCCGAAUACCCGAAUUCGUUUUUUAAAUAAUAUCAAAUAUACAAUGCAGUCACGCACGCACACUUCAAAUAAAACAAAACUCUUCGUUUCCUUCUUAUGAACGACGGCUCGACAGCUGACACAAACUUGCAAAGGGAAUACGACACUGAAGCUGAAGUCCUGAACCGUCAUCACAAUUCUCAGUUUCUCUCUGUCGCACGUAAUGGAAUUAAAAAAAAGUACAUAACAUAUUAUAAUGAUUUGUAUUGUUAUUAUAGAUGUACUUGUUAAUUGUAUGGAGUAUUUUCCAACCCAAUUUUUUAUUAAACCAACCGACAUGUAAAGAAAAUAUCAAUAAGUGUCAUUUAAGAAAUUUUCGGGUAUACCCGAUAAUUACCCGACCCGACCUCAAACCCAAAUACCCGAAACCCGAAAACCCGAAUUACAAUAUAGGUCGAGUAUCGGGUAUUAUUUUCUUAACGAAAUACCCGUUCUACCCGACCCGUUCUACACGAAACCCGAAAAUUUUACCCGUUCGACACCCCUACUUUUAUCUCCUUUUUUACUUUCAACUUUAUAGUUUAUAUAUGCUUUCUUGUACUUGUGGUCUUUUCACUUUCAGUCUUUUANNNNNNNNNNNNNNNNNNNNNNNNNNUUCGCUUUCAUCUUUAAUGUUUCUAUAUGCUUUCCGUACAUUAUUUAUCUUUUUACGUUUGUCCCUUUUUUUACUUUCAACUUUAUUGUUUGUUUCUGUUUUAGUACAAUAUUUACCUUCUUACUUUUUUCCCCUUUUUACUUUCAACUUUAUUGCUCGUAUUUAUUUUCUUCUUACCUUUGUCCUAUUUUUGUUUUCAUUGUUAUUGUUUAUAUUUAUUUUUCAUACAAUAUUUACCCUCUUAACUUCAUCAUUUUUACUUUUAACUUUUCUUACAUUUGUCUUAUUUUUUUCUUUCAACAUUAUUGCCUAUUUUAUUUUUCAUAUAGUAUUUACCUACUUACUUUUCUUCAUUUUUACUUUCAACUUUAUUGCCCGUAUAUGCUUUCUUCUUACCUAUGUCUUAUUUUUUCUUUCAACGUUAUUGCUUANNNNNNNNNNNNNNNNNNNNNNNNNNNNNNNNNNNNNNNNNNNNNCUUUAUUACUUAUGUCAAUUUUUACUCUAAACUUUAUUGCUCGUAUAUGCUUUCUUAAUACCUUUAACGUUUUUUUGUUUUCAACAUUAUUGCUUUUAUUUAUUUUUCAUAUACCAAUUCCUUCUUAAUUUUGCCCUAUUUUUACUUUCAAAUGUAUUUCUUGUACCUUCUUACUUCUGUCUAUUUUUUACUUUUUGGUUUUAUUGUUUGUAACGACUUUUUUUCCUUACUUUUGUCCUCCAGUUACUUUCCGAUUUAUUAACUGUAUUUGUUUUUUGUACAAUAUUUAACUUUCUUACUUUUGUGUGUGUGUGUUUUUUUUACUUUCAACCUUAUUGUGUGUAUCUGUUUUCUUGUUUUUGUCUCAUUUUUUUUCCUUCUCUUCUUAUGUUUGUUAACUUUUCACUUUAAUCUUUAUUGCUUGUAUUGUUUUUCGUAUAUUAUUUACCUUCUUAUUUUGUUUUUUUUACUUUCAACUCUCUUGUUUAUAUUUGGUUUAGUAUAAUUUUUACAUUCUUAUUUUUGUCUCCUUUUGACUUUCAUCUUUGUUGCUUGUAUCUAUUUUUUUUUCUUACCUUUGUCUUGUUUUUGUUUUCAACGUUAUUUUUUAUAUUUAUUUUCAUAAAAUAUUUAAUUUUUUUUUACCUUUGUCUCCUUUUUACUUUCUAACUUUAUUGUUUGUGCUCGUUUUCUUCUUACUUUUUAUCCGUUUUUUACUUUCAACUUUCUUGCUUGUAUUUGUUUGUCAUACAUUAUUUACCUUCUUACUUUUAUCAUUUUUUACUAACAACUUUAUUGUUUGUAUCCACGUUUUCUUCUUAUCUUUGACCCAUUUUUGUUUUCAACGUUAUCGUUGAUAUUUAUUUUUUAUAAAAUAUUUACUUUCUUACUCUUGUCUCUUUUUUACUUUCAUGUUUACUUCUUGUACAUGUUUCUUCUUCCUUUUGUCUUUUUUCUACUUUCAGCUUUAUUGGUUGUUGCUGUUUUUCCUCUUAUUUUGUCCGGUAUUUACUUUCAGCUUUAAUGUUUAUAUUUUACUUUUCGUAUAAUAUUUACUUUCUUAUUUUUUUCUCAUUUUAUCUUAUAACAUUAGGGCCGUGAAAAAGUCUCAAUAUUUUAGGUCAGUUUACGAUUUAGUCCCAAAUUAAAUUUUGUUUACAAAAAAGGACAGAUUACCGGCUAAAACUUUGAAUUAACCCUUCGUGGCCGGUUUCAUAGAUUUAGCCGGUAUCUCGUUUUUUUUCGUUAGUUAAUUCAAAUUUUGGGGCUUUUUCAUUAAUUAAUCAAAAUUUUAGGGCUUUUUAAUUAUUUAUUACCAAUAAACCAAAAUAUUUGGACUUUUCUGAAGAAUAUCUUUAAGCUAAUAUAUAUUAUAUGAUCUAAUUUAAUAUGUACUAUUCCAUAUCUUUUUUCUUAUGCUCUUCUAGGCUCACCGUGUGUUUUUAUCGGUGUCGUCAAACCCAACAACAAAAAUCUCACUCACAAGCCUCGUUAACUCAAUCAAUUUUCCAAAAUUAUCCAUUCACAACUUUAUGAUCAUCUUUCAAUCUCCAAAUAAAGAACGGAGAAAAUCCUUGUUGAUUACGUGGAUGUCCCUAUUACCUAACCAUGACUUAAACUGUGGUUCCAACACUUGGAUGUUCCUAUUACCUAAUCAUGACUUAAACCCAUACACUAAUGGCGUUGUACAUAGUGUUGUUAACAAUAGAAGACGAAUCUCACAUGUUCAACCACUGAUACAUUGGCUCAAGUCUUACUAGACCCUUGUUUCCUUACAACACUGUAGAAGCCCCAACAAAAGAUGAAUCCCACAUGGUUCAUCAUUUAUUGGUUUUUUUAUCAAAAAGUAAAGCAUUUUGGAAGCCCAAAUAGACUAAAACGUAAUAACGACAAUUAUUGUAAUAUCACACCAAUUGUCAUUAUGACUUAAACGUAACAUCACAACAAUUGUCAUUAUUACAUUUUAGUCUAUUUAGGGCUUCCAGAAUGCAUUAGUUUUUGGCAAGACAAAAACCAAUAAAUGAUGAAAUUUUUGAUAAAGAUCGGAACACAAUCUUAUUGAUGGAUCCAAGAGCUCCUUAUCGUCCCAAGCCUUUUUCUCCUCAAUCUUCUUCUAAAAAAUGCACUAUAAUAUGCAAUAUCAGCCCCUCUUUCUCUCCUACAAGCAUAUAGCUCAAUUAGGGUUUCUCUCAGAGUGUUAAGAUGAUAAGGGGGCGGAAAUGAAGGCUUAAAGUCCUUUAAAUAGGACACAAACCCUGAAAAUUAGGGUUUUCACACUCAGCUCCUACUCUUCGAGUUGGGGUCCUCCAACUCGUCGAGUAGACUCUAGAAAUUACGCGACCAUUAACACUAUCUACUUGACAAGUUGAGGCCUCCAACUCGUCAAGUUGAUAAGACAACAAGAAUAUAAAUUAAUUAAAUAUUAUACCGGAGAGUCGGGAUGUUACACCUAUUGUAAGGAAACAAGGGUCAAGUAAGACUUGAGCCAAGGUAUCAGUGGCUAAACCAUGUGGGAUUCAUAUUUUGUUGUUAACAAAACUAUGGGCAAUGCCAUUAGUGUGUGGGUUCGAAAUAAGGUUCGAGUCAUGGUUAGGUAAUAGGAACAUCCGAGUGUUGGAACCGUAGCUCGUAGGUAUACCAAAUUAAUAUUUUAAUAGUUUAUGAUGGAUAGCUUGUUGACAUUUUUUUACAAUUAGAGUUAACAUUCUCCAUGGUUUUCAAUACAUAAUAUCGAGUUGAUUUUUUUAACCUAUGUUGAGUUUCUUAAGCUUAAUGGUUCAUUCUUCAUGGUUUUCCAGCCCUAUUGUAAGGAAACAAGGGUAAUGUAAGACUUGAGCCAAGGUAUCAGUGGUUAAACUAUGUGGGAUUCAUAUUUUGUUGUGAACAACACUAUGGACAAUGCGAAUAGUGUAUGGGUUCGAAAUAGGAUUCAAGUCAUGGUUAGGUAAUAGGAACAUCCAAGUGUUGCAACCACGGUUUAAGUCAUGGUUAGGUAAUAGGGACAUCCACGUAAUCAACAAGGAUUUCUCCGUUCUUUAUUUGGAGAUUGAAAGAUGAUCAUAGAGUUGUGAAUGGAUAAUUUUGGAAAAUCGAUGGAGUUAACGAGGCUUGUGAGUGAGAUUUUUGUUGUUGGGUUUGACGACACCGAUAAAAACACACGGUGAGCCUAGAAGAGCAUAAGAAAGAAGACAUGGAAUAGUACAUAUUAAAUUAGAUCAUAUAAUAUAUAUUAGUUUAAAGGUAAUCUUUAGAAAAGUCUGAAUAUUUUGGUUUAUUGGUAAUAAAUAAUGAAAAAAACCUAAAAUUUUGAUUAAUUAAUUAAAAAGCCCCAAAAUUUGGAUUAAUUAACAAAAAAAGACGAGAUACCAGCUAAAUCUGUGAAACCGGCCACGAAGGGUUAUUUCGAAGUUUUAGCCGGUAAUCUGUCCUUUCUUGUAAACAAAAUUUAAUUUGGGACUAAAUCGUAAACUGGCCUAAAAUAUUGAGAUUUUUUUGCAGAUUUCCCUCUAACAUUAUUGCUCUUAUUACUUUCUUCUUACUUUUGUCCUAUAUUUGCUUUCAACGUCAUUUCUUAUUUCUUNNNNNNNNNNNNNNNNNNNNNNNNNNNNNNNNNNNNNNNNNNNNNNNNNNNNNNNNNNNNNNNNNNNNNNNNNNNNNNNNNNNNNNNNNNNNNNNNNNNNNNNNNNNNNNNNNNNNNNNNNNNNNNNNNNNNNNNNNNNNNNNNNNNNNNNNNNNNNNNNNNNNNNNNNNNNNNNNNNNNNNNNNNNNNNNNNNNNNNNNNNNNNNNNNNNNNNNNNNNNNNNNNNNNNNNNNNNNNNNNNNNNNNNNNNNNNNNNNNNNNNNNNNNNNNNNNNNNNNNNNNNNNNNNNNNNNNNNNNNNNNNNNNNNNNNNNNNNNNNNNNNNNNNNNNNNNNAUAUACUAGCCGUCUACCCGCGCAAAGCGGCGGGCGGCGAAUAAUUUGAUCUCUUUAGAGUUAAAACCAUUUUGCGUUCACUUCGAGAAAUGAAUAUUAAAUGACAUCUAUUUUUCAAGAGCAUUACCAUACCAUAUUAAGGGGGUGUUUGGCUAAGCUUUUUUAAAACAACUUAUUAGGUUCCACAUCACUAUAAGUUAAAAAAGUGUUUGGAUUAAAAUAACUUAUUCCGGUGGGGAACCUCUAAUACGUCAUUUUUUCAUAAGUUACCCUACACUUACUUAUUAACUUAUAAGCUAAUAAACUAAUAAGCAAUAAGUUUUUUUGCCAAACACCCCCUAAAUGGUUAUUACUUCCAUUUAUACAUACCCAAACCACUUGUAUUGUUUAUCGUCAUCUUUGUUUUUUUCGUUUUCCUUAAUUCCUUUAUUAAUUUAAUGUCCUACUAAGUAAAAUGCUAAAAUAUAUAAAUAAUAAUUUAUAAAAAUAAACCUUUAGAAUAUCAGGUGUUGUGAUUCAAAAGUCGAUAAAUAGGCCUUUGAGAAGGCUAAAAUACUCAGGUGUCAACUUGUUCAUUGUGAUUUUAAACCAAGUUUGGUCACAAAUUAAAACAUUUUCAACGAUGGUAUGUAAUUCAAGGAUUCAUAUUGAUUUAGGUUCUCGAAACCUUAAAAUAUUGAACAAAAUCUAUAUAGAACCUUAUAAUAAGGACAAUAAUCACCGUAAUCAGGAAGUCCAUGUGAUGAAACUUGAUAUUAUAAGGACCAAUGAUGAAAAAGGUUUCAUUUUUAGACUAAACAAGAUGAAAAAUAUACAAACUACCUUAAUCAUGUCAAAUCUUGUGUUUAACCGUUCUUUAUUGCAAAAGUAAGAUGUCAAAAUAUACAAACUAAUGAUAAUACAAUGCUCUAACUGACCCUCUUGGUUGAGUUCUUUGAACCUAAACCAACACAUUAAAGAAACAUAGUGAAAACCUUUUAGGAACAAACCUGAUAUAAUAAAGUCUUCACCCAAUAUAUUUAUAAGAUAAAAAUACAAAAAGUUAAAAAUGAUGAAAUCAAUUACAAGUAAGGAUUAAAAUAAAAACUUGUUAAGAAAGAGCCAUCUGCAGAAGGAAUAUUUGAAUCAACAUGUAUUUUCUGAUGGUUUCAAAUUUUGAAAUAUCUGAAAUUCAGGGAAGGAGAUAGAAUUUGUUGAGAAAUAUAAGGAUUCAAAACACAAGUUAAAAUUUAAUAUUAUUUUAUGGAUGACUAGUUGUAUUAUUAGCUUAAUGAUUUGAACGUCUUAAAAAAAUAAUAUUAUUAUAUUCAAUCUAUUUUUAGAAAUAGUGGGAUUUCUUUUAUUGUUUGUAUCUGUUUUCUUUUUACUUUUGUCCCUUUUUACUUUCAACUUAUUACUCGUAUCUAAUAUUUGUAUAUUAUUUUUCUUCAUACUUUUUCCUCCCCACACAUGUUACCUUCUUAUUAAUUGGUUUCCCGUUUCCGUAUAUUUGAUUUUUUUUUGAAUGGGAAAUUCAAUAAUAUACUAAACUACUCCUAAAUUAUUCCACCUAUGUCAACAGUGGGACUUGAACCCUCGACCUCAAGAACGAAGGACAAUACCGAAUAUCGCUAGGCUAGAAGCCCUUUGGUCUUUCCAUAUGUUUGAUACUUGAUGAUUUUCUUUGUGUGUUCAUCACAUGUGUUAAUUAUUGUAUUUCUAAAUACUUUAGUUAGAUGUUAACACAACUAUAAACUCUAUUUCAAUGAAGUAAAUAUUUUAGAGGGUAGUACAAAUAUAAAUAGAAAAUUUUAAAACGACUUGCUGUAUUUUUGUCGUAAAUGCGAAAUUCAUUGCGUUAUCUACACGCUUACGUAGUCGCUUAAAAUUAGACAUAUCUAUUUUUAGUUGAUGUUUACGUGGAGCACAUGAUUAGUGUGCAUUCAAGUUUGAUAACGCCAUCAAAAGUCUAAUUCUUCAUUUUCUUUGCCAGCUGUCUCACCGACUAGGUUGCUCAAGAACAUCAUAAUCACGUAAGUAGGUGAUUCUAUCUUCCUCGUACUAUAUGUUGUUUGAUAUUGAAGUUAAUCUAGAGAAAUAAGUAAUUAUUGGUUAACUUAUGAUUAAAAAAAAUGCUCAAUAUUGAUAAUGAACUAGCUUUUAAGAAUAUGUAGACAAGUUAAGGCCAUAAUGUCUUACUAGAAAGAUUUUAUAACAAAAUUAUAUUUGCCAUGCAUGUUAUCUAGUUUUGUGUAAUUGUUAGCUUAUGACAUUAAAUUCAAUUAUUGCCAUUUGUGUUCUUUGAUUAGUUUCUAAAGAUGCACAUAAUGGAGGUUUACAUAUUUUUAUAAUAAAUUUUGUUUUCGGUCUAGAUUUUAUUCCUUUGUUUUCCACGUAGGCUAGAUGAGCUAUAAGGACUCGCACAUUCACUCAUUUCUAUCUAUAGAAGUCGCAUUUAUUCAUGUUUCGCUUCUACUCGCUAUCUAAUCUUCCAUCCGUAUAAUUAUAAGUAUUAAAUGUUUGUUUAUAAUGUUUCAUAUUUUUCUCAAUUUAUGCAAAAAAAAAAAGGUUUUUACAAAUGAAAUAUGCAAUAACAUUUCAUAAUAUGGAAGUGGUCAAAUGGUUUAUUAAUGCAACAAUUUAUUUUUUCAAAUGUUUCACAUUUUUACCAAUUUAUGCAAUAAUGUUUCACAUUUUUAUCAGUUUAGACAACUAACACUAAUAUGCAACCAUGUUUUAAAUGGUUCAACGAGAUGAGGCAUCAACCACCACUUACUAGAAUGAGUGAUUUCAAGAAAUCAUCUAUCCCUUGCCUUCGGAACUUUCUUUUUGGCAUCUUUCUUCGUUGCUUGACAGGAAGAACUGUUGGUUUGGAUAAAGUGAAACUGGAGGUGUAUGCUAUGGUCGCAGGUUUAUAUUACAAUUUACAGGUGGAUUAUGCAACCCAGUUAUGGCAAGAGUUUGGAAAAAACAUUGCUAACACAAGUGUGGUUAAUGGAGUUUCAUGUGCUCGUUACUGGAGCCUGAUAUUGAAGUAUGUUUACGAAAAGGAAGGGAUCUUGGUACCUGUUGAUGAUCCUAAAACAGAGUUCGGAAUAUAUCAACAUCCUAAGGUUGUGGAGGAUGAUUCGGAAAAUUUUCCCAAUGUUGCGAGGAUCCAUGUAUGCUUCGCAAAGUAGAUCUUGUUGAUCCAGUUCUAAUUGCAUAUCUUCAAACCAUCAAUCUUUCAAUUGCGAAUGGAGGUUUAGAAACAACAUUGAUAACACAAGUGUGGUAAAUGGAGUUUCAUCUGCUCGUUACUGGAGCCUGAUAUUGAAGUAUGUUUACGAAAAGGAAGGGAUCUUGGUACCUGUUGAUGAUCCUAAAGCAGAGUUCGGAAUAUAUCAACAUCCUAAGGUUGUGGAGGAUGAUUUAGAAAUUUUUCCCAAUGUUGCGAGGAUCCCUGAUGCAAUGCUUUGCAAAGUAGAUCCUGUUGAUCCGGUUCUAAUUGCAUAUCUUCAAACCAUCAAUCCUUCAAUUAAGACUGGAGUGUUAUUGGCGAAGGGUGUUGCUCGUCCUUCCAAAUAGAAAAAAGAAUUCAAAGAAAGGAACUCAAGCCAGUCCAUCGAAGCUUGCUCUUGUGUCUACUCCAACGAAAGUUACUAAGGCUAGUAUUUCGAAGCCUGUUUCGGUUCCUAUUCAACAGGAAGUCACUAAGCCUUCUUACGAAGAAACUUCUCAACCAGCGAAGGAGGUCAUGCCUUUGAAAUCUGUGGUUCUUAAAAGGUUGAAGAAAAAGGCUCACAGGCCUCGUCAUUCACCAUAAAGGCCUGUUAUCCAAGAAGUUUAUGAGAAAUCACCAUCUUCUACCAAGAGUAUUUCUCUUCUUCCAAGAGGAUUAUAUGUUGGAUUAGUGUCUAAGUCCAUAACUAUUUUGGUAUGUACUUGACCCGAUGGUGCAUGGUCCUUUUGGGUUGCCUUCACCAAAGCAACUUGAUAGGAUGAAUUAUGGAGAGAAAGGAUUAAAUAUGAUUUAUUAAUAUAUUAUGGGAAUAAUAUAUUAAAGGAGAAAUCAUAUUGUUUAAUUAAUAUUAGUCAAGAAUUAAUAAGAAUUAAGUUUGUGACUAAAAGAGAUUAAUUAAACUUAAGGUACUGGAAUUGUAAUUAUAAGAUAAUUGCAAUUGGGCUAUGGAUUGCCUUAUAUUAUAAGGUUGGACGAAUUCUACGGGGAAACCCAUUGGAAAUCGUCCAAGGCCUUUAAGGAAGGAGCCCAUGGGUUGCUUAGGGCUUAAGCAUCCAAAUUAGGGUUUCCUUGUUAGAUAACCCUAAUAGCCUCACUAUAUAUAGAGCCCUUAUGCCCCAAAAACGUGGACAAGCUUCCUUCUAGGGUUUCCGCACGUUUUGGGCAGCCUCCUUCUCUUCUCUUCUUCAUCCUCUUGCUUAUGGUGUUUGUGAACCAUUAGAGGAGUGACAUUUGUGACUAUAAGCUUUCUAAAGUCAUUACAAGGAGGAUUUGAGAUUGUUAUUGCUACAUAACAAUCAAGGUAUGAUCUAAACUCUAAUUAUAUGUUAUAUUGAUUAUAAUAUGCUAGAUCUAGGGUUUAUAGUCUUGGAUAAAUUGCAUGUACAAUAGAGAAACCUAGAUCCAAGCAUUAGGGUUUGUAUGAGCACAUAGGAUGUUCCAAAGUAUAAAACCCAUCAUUAUAAAGCCUCAAAUCACUUGCAAGGGUGUUACCAUACGCGAGAUUCCGGCUCUAGUUUCUCCUGCCUCUAAGAAACAAAGAACUCAUGAAAUGGUGAAGAAGCUUAAGAAGAAGUAGAAGAAAAUCACAACUCCAUUGGAUGAGGUACUUAUUGAAGAUGAUGUUGAUGAUAGUGGUAAGUCUCAAUCUCCACUUCGACAUGCUGAUAUGGGUUUUUCGUCACCACAGAUGGACUUUCCAGUCAAGUCGACUUUCGAGGCGUCUGGUAGUCUUGAUGGCAAUGUAGAAACAUUUAUUAUGGACACAACCAUCAAUCUUGAUGAUUAUUCACAAUUAUCCAUCCCUGAGCAGACUUUGGUCAUACCACCCGAAGUUUUGCAAGCCAAGUCCAAUAUGGAGGAGGUGCGAACUUCAGGCAUCACUGCGGACAUAUCUGAUAUGGAUGCAAAUGUCACUAAGGGUGAUGGGGUGUCGAGUUCUCAAGCCCAAGGUACUUCUGAUUCAAUCAUAGUAUCAUUUACCUUCGAAACCACUUAUAUUGACACGAGUACUACAUUACCACUAUUUCAUUCAUCUAUUUCUACUUCUUUACCUCAAUCCACCAUUUCACCUACCUUUCAAAACAUUAUCAAUCAACCAAUCACAUCCUUAUUUCCUUCGCAAACCACUGAAGGUCCAACAUCUAUUCCUGAUAAUACAAUAGAGGAUGAUGAUGUGUGUAUUUCUUUCGCUGAUCUUCAGUUUGAUCCAGAAGAUGAGGAUAUACCAGAUCAUAUGUUAAUGUCUGGUAAGCAAUUCAAUAUCCUCAAUUGAAAACUCAAUUCGUUACUCCAGUUUCAGGCUGCUGUUGGAAGUCAACACAAUGUCACUGGGAUCAAGGUUGAUGUGAUGCUCAAGGCUCAAGAGCUUCGACUGAAAGCAGUAAUGGGCCAGAUGGAAAAGAAUAAUGAACUUCGAGUGAAGUUUCAAUCUGACUCAUUUAAUCAUGAGGUAAAGGUUUUAAGAGCCGUUGCAAACGAACGUCAUCUUUUGUUUGUUUAAGUUGUCAAGAGGGUUCAAGAGGAUGUAAACUUGAAGAUCGAAGAACUUCAACAAGAAAUAACGUAGGAGGUUGCGAAGGUUGAUCAAAACUAUUCGAACCUUCAUACUAAGGUUGAUAUAGUUGCUGGUGCAGUCACGAAGCUCGUUGAGUUUCACACUUCUCUUAACUCUAAGGAGUUUUUACAUCGCCAAGGUGUCUUGGUAGAAGUGAAUGAUUUCAAAGCUUGCUAUUCCUCCUACUUCAACAGUUUCUCAAGAGUCCAUCUCACAACUGUUCUCUUCGUUGGAGUCUCGACUAAAAGUUGAUCUUGGUCCUUUAAUGAAUUUGGUGAAUUUGAUGCCCACUGCUGCCCCACCUGUUUCCACAGGGGUGCAAGGGGGAGAGAAGGGUGUGGGUGCAUCAUAGAACUCUGAACAAGGCGAAGUUAUUGGAAAAGUGUCAAGCACACAAAUUCCCAAUACAUUUCCACUAUCUACAAUAACAACUUCUACAACCAUGACUUUGAAACCUUUAACUAAAGGUAUUAUCAUUGGAUCAUCUACUGGAGGGUCAAGUUCGAAACCUCCUCCAUCAGCAGAAUAAUUGAAGCGAAGAGGAAAGGGUAUUCUGAUAGAACCAACUGUUGAAGAGAAAAAGUUGGCAUUAGAGCAGGAAAUGGAAAAAAAAAUUCAGAGCAUACUUCGAAAAAGACAGAGUGAUCCUUCUGGUAUUAAUAAGGGUGAUCCAUCCAAACACUACAACUACGAAUAGACCUGGAAAAAUCUAGCACGGCACGACAACCCGACACGAACCCGAAACGAAGUUAGCGGGUAGGGUCAGAGAUUUAACCUGUUUAUAUACACGGGUUGACACGACACGUCACGAUAAUUAAACGGGUAGGGUUAGUGUCAAGACUUUCAACUCGAAGAUGACUCGAUAAUGACCCGUUUAUAUAUGUGUAUAUAUAUAUAAAUCAUAUUUUUAUAAAUAUUUUCAAUAUUAUACAUUUGUAGUUGCCCAAAUUCAAGAAUUAAAAGUAAAACUCAAACUUUCAAAGUGACUUAAUUUUACUCCUUCUCACUACCUAUCUCAUUUGCUUCCUAACUCUUAAUUCUUUCCAUUUUGCUUUCUAAACUUACUACUAUCUUCGUCCCAUAUUUAUUGUCUAAUUUUGAUUGUUGAAGUCUUUAUUCUUCAAAUUUGACCUUAAAUAAUUUUGUUUUUGAUAUAUAUAACAUUUAAUGCGAAAUAUAUGAAUGGAUUAUGUUUUAAAUGUCUUUUCAUUGUUAUAAAAUUUAUCAAGUAAUUUAUAACACAAAUAAAACUAUUUAAGGUCAAAGUAAAAACUUCAAAAGUCAAAAAUGGACAAUAAAUAUGAGACGGAGGGAGUAUAAUUUUUUUUUUCGGUUCCACCUCCCAAGUCCAACAUUUCACUUUUUCAUUUAUUUUUUCCUCAAUGACUCUUACUUUUCAACCUAUAAAAUUUUUCAACCCGACAUGACACAACCCGAAACUCGACACGAAAUCGACACGAAAAUAAACGGGUUAACACGACACGACACGAUAAUUAAACGGGUCGGGUUAGGGUCAAGCACUCUCAACCCUUUUAAUGUCUUGACACGGCACGAACCCGACACGACACGACACGUUUGCUAGGUUGAUAGUUAGUUUUGUUUACUUCUUUUUAUAGUUUAUUUUAGCAUAUUUCAUUCAUAAUUUAGAUAAUUUCCAUGCAUAUUUUCCCUUUUUUGUUAUUUUAUGACUAUUUCGGAUACUUUCGAAUCUUGUGAGCAUAAUUGCAGGUUUUCGGGUCUAGCGGAGCGGGAGUGUUCGGGACGUAUGGGAAGCGAUGAGAUUUGGUAGAAAAAAAUGAUGUUAGGCUUGGUGAUUGUGGAGAUGAUGCAUGGAGCGAGCUUGAUGGUUAUUUGAAGGCUUGGAGAGAAAUAAACUUUAAAUUUGCAAAACGCGGGAGUUUAUUCGAGCGUGCGUAGAUUAUUAACCGGGCGAGUUUGGAGGAUUUGGAGAGGCCAAAUUGGGCUUAAAAUGAAUAAAAACUUGAAGAAAAUGGGCUAGGAGGUGAUUGGAUUCGAUCUGGGCUAGUGGGACAUGCUUUGGAGGCCCAAAAUCUCAAAGAAGCCCAUGUCAGGCACCACCCGCGCAACCCACCCGCGCAGCAGCACGCGGGUCGCGCAAGGCUCUGCAGGGGUAAUUUCGGAAAUCCAUUUGGAAGGCUAUUUGAGGAAGGUUGGUGCCCAUCUUUUGGGGACUCUUGGACAUCCGAUUUUUGAAGAUUUUCUCUGGAGUUUUGAAGACUUUUGAAGGCCAAGAACACUUGAAGAACAUCAUAUUUUUACCUCUUGAUUCUUGCUUAAUGUUUGGUACAAUUUUCUCUAACUUUGUUUCUUUGGGUUUAGCCAUGCUUGGCUAAACUAAUCUUGGUUGACUUUUGGUUAAUCCUUUGAACUUUUGUUGAAUGUUGAAGAAUCCAUGAACAUGUUCUUAAAUCUUUAUGGGAAUGUUUUGUGUUUUAACAUCUUAUCACUACUUGUAUGUUUUAGUUCAUGAGUUUAAAUGUGUUUGUGGUGAUUAGUUGGCUAAUUUCUUGAUUAAGUAAAGGAUCCUCAAAUUAGCAAGAAACAAAUGAUUUUUGUGUUGUUUUUGCUUCACACAAUCAUAAAAACAUUUCAUCCAACAUGGUGGUGAAAGCAUUUGACCCCUCUUGGAUUUGGUGACUUUUUGGUUCUUAAUGCUAGUUGACUUUCACUAAUUACAUGCUAUUUGGAAUUAGUGACUUUGACUAAGGAAAUUGUUAUGAGCUUCUCUAGCCAUUUCAACAAUUAAGAAAAGUCUAGGUAAUCUCAAGCUCCUUGGAUUACUAUAGCCAAAUUAAGGAUUUAAAUCAAAGUAUUGCACCAUUGGAUUCUAAUGAUAUGUUCAUCAAAAGUCAAAGUGAGGAAACUUUAAGUCAACCAUCUCUCCCUUAUUGAUUUUACAUCAAACUCUUAUUUUUGUUGCAUUUGUCUAUUUAAAUCAUAGUUAAUUCUAGUUUGUUUCAAGUAUUUCAAAACACCAAAACCUCCCAUUUUAUUUUUAUUGUCAUUUUACAAGUAUUUUUACAAAGAGAUUUUUCAUAGAGUUAUAAAUUGAACCAAUCUCCGUGGAUUCGAUCCAUUUACCACUAUACACUAUUUUAGUGUGUAAUAUUUAGGGUUAUUAUUUGUGUUGGCCUCGACAACCACCAUAGGUCUAACUACGAAACGAUUGAUGCUUGUGUUUUCAGUGGAGUUAUGCAUGAGUUUCCCAAAGUUCCCAAAAAGAGCUUUUAUAUCGAAACCCAAAUUUCAAUCAGCUGGACUUCCUAUCAACGAAAUGAUGUUCAUUUCUUCGCAGUAUCAGAUUGUUGACAAAUUGAAGACAAAGAUGAAUUCAAGAGAUUGAAGCUUCGAUUUCAUGUUGUUCUUGGAAAAAGACAAAAAGAGAUUUGGUGAUUGGUCAAAGUUGUCAGAGUGCUAAACAUUUUCAAGGAUGUUUUGUUCGAAGAAGUUUUGUAGAAUUUUCGAUAUCAUGCAGUUUGAGCUAACAAUGGUGCAUUCGUCUUCUCAGUAGCUGGCUUCCCAUUGAUGAAUCUAAAUGAUAUCAUAAGUGUAGCAAAGAUUUUAAAAUGAGUAGAUACAUCGAAGCUACAAUUGACUAACAAAGAAGAUUUUCUUCUUGGAUAUGCUCACAUAAAGUUGUUUAUAGACAAUUACUAUGAUUGUCUUGCAAUGACUCAUGUGGAGCUUGCACUAACAUUAGAAAAACAAGUCACUGUUCCACGGUCUUUAUUAAAAGGUGCGAAGAACUUGAAGAAUUACAAUGAUGGUGAAAUUUGUGUGAAGCCUUUAGGAAUUCUUUUUGUUGGGAAAAAUAAAAACAACAAAAUCACCUGGUUUUUGUUGAGAUUGUUGAUGAUGUCUUGGGCGAGCAUCCAGGGUUCAUCGGGGUUGUGUCCUGGAGUUGUUCAACGAGCGGUAUCCGAUUGAUUUAGUUCCUAUUCCGUUAUGUAAGAACAAGGUUAUAGUGAGGAUGGAUUAGCUAAGCCCCAAUGAGGCAGUGAUUGAUUGUGAGCUUCAGAUGGUACGUGUUCGGACCCCAAGUGGGGGAUAGUUGGUGGUCCAGGGAGAGAGUGUUUAUUGAUGACAUCCUGGUCUAUUCCAAGACCCAGGAGCUGCAUGAGGAGCAUUUGAGGGAGGUAUUGGAGACUCUGAGGAUGGAUAGACUGUACGCGAAGUUCUUCAAGUGUGAAUUCUGGUUGCGUGAGAUGCAAUUUCUGUGACACCUUGUCAACCAAAACGGUAUCCUGUUCAAUCCGACCAAGGUCGAGGCGGUGAUGCGAUGGGAGGUUUCGAGGUCUCCAUCUUGGAUUCGGUGUUUCCUUGGUUUGGCAUGUUAUUAUCGGAGAUUUAUUCAAGAUUUCUCCAAGAUAACAGUUCAUCUGACUCAGUUGACGAAGAAGACCAUCACUUUUCACUAGGGGCCUGAGCAGUAGGCAACUUUUGAGACCCUCAUGCAGAAAUUGUGUGAGGCGCCGAUUUUGACCAUACCUGAGGGUGUUGAGGAUUUUGUGGUUUAUUGUGAUGCAUCGAUCACGAGUUUGAGUGCAGUUCUGAUGCAGAUGGGUCGCAUUAUUGCUUAUGCUUCGAGGUAGCUGAAGCCUCAUGUGGCGAACUAUCCUAUGCAUUAUUUGGAGCUGGGUGUUGUGGUGGUUGCCCUCAAGAUUUGGCGACAUUACCUUUAUUGGGUCCGUUGUACUAUCUACACGAAUCACAAGAGCCUGAGGUAUUUGAUGGAUCAACCGAAUUUGAACAUGAGACAACUUAAGUGGUUAGAUGUGGUGAAGGAUUAUGAUUGUGAGAUCCUUUACCAUCCAGGGAAGGUCGAUGUGGUUGUCGAUGCUCUCAGACGCAAGGCGGCCGCGACUCCAAUCAUUGAUAUGUGUUUAAGGAUGUCAAUGAUUACUCCACUCUUGGAUCAGAUUCGAGAGGCUAAGGUUGAGACUAUGAAGGAAGAGCAGCGAAAGAGUGAGUGCAUUGUGAGUCAAGUGGCUUCCUUUGAUUAUGAUAGCCGAGUGUUAUUGAAUCCCCAUCGGAGGGUGUGGGUUCCUAAUCGGGGUGGUGCACAUCAGGUUCUGAUGGAGGAUGCACACAAGUCGAGGUUCUUUAUCCAUCCCGAAGCAACAAAGAUGUAUAGAGAUCUCCGUCCCGAUCAUUGGUUGCCAUGUAUGAAGCGGGAUGUAGCCUUGUAUGUAGAGAGGUGCUUGACUUGCAGGAAAGUCAUCGACGAGCAUCAGCGACCUCACGGCAAGAUGCAGUCGUUGGACAUUCCCAUUUGGAAAUGGGCAGAGAUCACCAUGAAUUUCAUCACGAAGUUUCCACGGACAACGCGCAGAGUGGAUUCGAUAUGGGUCAUUAUGGAUCGAUUAACCAAGAGUGUGCAUUUCAUUCUGAUUAAGGAGACUAUCUUUGCUGAGAAGUUAUCUAACGUUUACAUCAAGGAGGUUGUGGCACAUCGGGUUUUGGAAGAGUUUUCACGAGGACUUGGGUGCUCGUCUACAUUUCAGCACGACUUUCCACCCGCAGACUAACAAACAGACUAAGCAGACUAUUCAGACCUUGGAGGAUAUGCUCCGGGUAUGCGUAUUGGAUUUCGUUGGGAUUUGGGAGACGUAUCUCCCUUUGGCAGAGUUUUCGUAUAACAACAGUUAUCACGCCAACAUCGAUUGACCUCCUUUUGCAAUGCUCUAUGGGAGGAUGUGCAGGACCCUGAUAUGUUGGGGUGAGAUAGGUUAGCGAGUCAUGGGGAGUACUUAAGUAGUACUCAAGACCAUUGAGUUGAUUCAGCAGAUUCAAAAUAGACUUCAGACAACACAGAGUUGCUAGAAAAGCUAUGCUGACAAGCGCUGAUCAGAUCUAGAGUUCUAGAUUGGGGAUAUGGACCUCCUAAAGGUGUUACCUUGGAAAUGUGUUAUCCGAUUCAGGAAUAAGGGCAAGUUGGGCCCCAGGUACAUCGGUCCUUUCAGGGUUUGGACCCGGGUGGGCCAAGUUGCUUAUCACUUGGAUCUUCCCGAUGAGCUUUGUCUAAUCCAUAGCACGUUUCAUGUCUCUUAGCUAUGAAAAUGUUUGGUUGAUGAUUCCACGGUGGUUCCAUUGAAGGAUAUUUAGGUGGAUGAUAGCCGAAAUUAUAUUGAGACACCGAUUUUCAUCCUUGACAACCUUAAGGAACAAGGUUGUGGAGUUGGUGAAGGUGUAGUGGCAACACCUGAAGGGUCCCGAAUGGACGUGUGAGCCUGAGGAUGAGAUGAGGGAGCAUCACCCAUAGUUAUUUACAGUAGCGGACUUCAAGGACCAAAUCUGAUUCAAGUGGGGGAGAGUUGUAAAACCCGAUUUAAGGUAGUUUCAUUUUUUUACCCUUUGUAUGUAAAUGUUUAGCAUAUUUGGUCCCUAGGGGCAGCUUUGCCUUUUCCAGAAAAAUUGGAGUACGAUGGGUGUAAUCCUCGUAUGUGGGGGGGUACACAUAUAGGGGACAAGCCCUAAAUUUUAGGGUUUGGACCAUAUUUAAACAACUUAAUGAACCUUGACCCUCUUAUUUCUCAGCCUUCGUAGCCCUUUGAGUGCCAUUUCGAAACCCUAUCCGCUCUUGAAGGGAUUUGACCUUCUUGUAUGUGUUUUAGUGUAUGUUGGUGAUAGUUAAAAAAGAAGAGCUUGGGGGAAGGAGCUUUGAUCAAAGGAGAACUUGUAGAUCCAGAUUUCUCACAUCAUUUCCAGCUUCAUUGAGGUAUAAAGUUUGGAACUUGCUUCUUGUAUGCUUAGAUCUAAUCUGUAUGAAGUUUUGGUCCCUUUUUGGUCCUAUGAUGAGAUCUAGUGGUUAUCUUCCACUCCAGUAGUUAGGAGUUGCUCUUCUUAAUGUUUCUGAGAUUCUUAAUCCAUAAAGUUAGCAUCUUGAUGGUUGUGGAUAAACCAUGCAUGUAUUUAGGUCCUUUUGGUGAAAGUAGAAUGUUAAAAGUAAGAUUUGGGUCCUUUUGAGCUAUGCAAAGGCUCCAAGUUCAUGACUUUAUAGAUUAAGAUGUUUCAUAGGACUAGGAUUUGAAGUUUGGGCGUUUGGUUUCAAGUAUUAAACACUUAAUGGGAACAUAUGUUGGGCAUACAUAAGCGUACGUUACGCGUACACUGCCGAGUCCUCGAUCAUGCACGCUUCGUAGAACACUGGGUGUACCUAGGUCGUACGUAGUGCGUACUGGCGGUUGAUGGAGUACACAGGGCAUAAGUCUGAGUACGUCGGGCGUACUCAGCUGUUGUUGACUUUUGUUGACUUUGCGGUUUGGGCUAUAUUUGGACUAGUGGAGUUUUAGGCCUUGUUGGGCCAUUAGCCUUUUUUACUUUGGACCAUUGCUAGGAUUUGGGCCCAUAUUGGGUUUUUUGGUAUCGUUUUGGGAUUUGGGCCGUUUGGGCUUUCGGUGCUAUUGAAUUGGACCUCAGAUUUUGGGCCAAGUAAGGAAGGGGUAAGAUGGUCUUUUACCCUGAGUGUUGGACACUUGGACUAGGAUUCCAGUUGUGGGUAGUGGAGUAAUUAUUAAUUGGGUAUUAUUUGAUGAUGUUUAGUGCGGAGAUUUCCUGGAUCAGCAGUCUGAGUUUUUAUCUGAUAUUCAGCAGUUUGAGGUGAGUUUCCUCACUGUGCUUGGCGGAUCGAAGGUACCAUUGUUGUCCCAUUUGGGCCGUUUGGGCUUUUGGUGCUAUUGAAUUGGGCCAAGUAAGGAAGGGGUAAGAUGGUCUUUUACCCUGAGUGUUGGACACUUGGACUAGGAUUCUAGUUGUGGGUAGUGGACUAAUUAUUAAUUAGGUAUUAUUUGAUGAUGUUUAGUGCGGAUAUUUCCCGGAUCAGCAGUCUGAGUUUUUAUCUGAUAUUCAGCUGUUUGAGGUGAGUUUCCUCACUAUGCUUGGCGGGUCGAAGGUACCAAUGUUGUCCCAUUUGGGCCUUUUAGGCUUUUGGUGCUAUUGAAUUGGGCCUCGGAUUUUGGGCCAGACAAGGAAGGGGGUAAGAUGGUCUUUUACCCUGAGUGUUGGACACUUGGACUAGGAUUCCAGUUGUAGGUAGUGGACUAAUUAUUAAUUGGGUAUUAUUUGAUGAUGUUUAGUGCAGAGAUUUCCCGGAUCAGCAGUCCGAAUUUUUAUCUGAUAUUCAACAAUUUGAGGUGAGUUUCCUCACUGUGCUUGGCGGGUUGAAGGUACCAAUGUUGUCCCAUUUGGGCUUUUGGUGCUAUUGAAUUGGGCCUCGAAUUUUGGGUCAAGUAAGGAAGGGGUAAGAUGGUCUUUUACCCUGAGUGUUGGACACUUGGACUAGGAUUCCAGUUGUGGGUAGUUGACUAAUUAUUAAUUGGGUAUUACUUGAUGAUGUUUAGUAUCUGUAUGAAUGUCAGGUGGGCCCGAUGCUAGGCGGGGCCUGAUAAAUGUGAUGAGGCGGGGCCCAUCUCAUAUUAUUGAAAUAUCCGUUCCAAGCGGGGUUCAAUGUCGGGCGGGGCCUGAUGGUUUUUCGGCAUGACCCAUUGUAUGUUUGAUAUGUAUGGUAUGAGGUAUCUUGGGGAACUCACUAAGCUUCGUGCUUACGAUUUUCAGUUUAUGUUUCAGGUACUUCCGAAUUGAAGCGAAAGAGCUUGGGAUGAUCGCAUCGCAUAUACCAUAUUGUUCCGC